AGAGUUUGAUCAUGGCUCAGAUUGAACGCUGGCGGCAGGCUUAACACAUGCAAGUCGAGCGGAGAUGAGGUGCUUGCACCUUAUCUUAGCGGCGGACGGGUGAGUAAUGCUUAGGAAUCUGCCUAUUAGUGGGGGACAACAUUCCGAAAGGAAUGCUAAUACCGCAUACGCCCUACGGGGGAAAGCAGGGGAUCUUCGGACCUUGCGCUAAUAGAUGAGCCUAAGUCGGAUUAGCUAGUUGGUGGGGUAAAGGCCUACCAAGGCGACGAUCUGUAGCGGGUCUGAGAGGAUGAUCCGCCACACUGGGACUGAGACACGGCCCAGACUCCUACGGGAGGCAGCAGUGGGGAAUAUUGGACAAUGGGCGGAAGCCUGAUCCAGCCAUGCCGCGUGUGUGAAGAAGGCCUUUUGGUUGUAAAGCACUUUAAGCGAGGAGGAGGCUACCUGGAUUAAUACUCUAGGAUAGUGGACGUUACUCGCAGAAUAAGCACCGGCUAACUCUGUGCCAGCAGCCGCGGUAAUACAGAGGGUGCGAGCGUUAAUCGGAUUUACUGGGCGUAAAGCGUGCGUAGGGGGCUGAUUAAGUCGGAUGUGAAAUCCCUGAGCUUAACUUAGGAAUUGCAUUCGAUACUGGUCAGCUAGAGUAUGGGAGAGGAUGGUAGAAUUCCAGGUGUAGCGGUGAAAUGCGUAGAGAUCUGGAGGAAUACCGAUGGCGAAGGCAGCCAUCUGGCCUAAUACUGACGCUGAGGUACGAAAGCAUGGGGAGCAAACAGGAUUAGAUACCCUGGUAGUCCAUGCCGUAAACGAUGUCUACUAGCCGUUGGGGCCUUUGAGGCUUUAGUGGCGCAGCUAACGCGAUAAGUAGACCGGACAGAGGGGAGUACGGUCGCAAGACUAAAACUCAAAUGAAUUGACGGGGGCCCGCACAAGCGGUGGAGCAUGUGGUUUAAUUCGAUGCAACGCGAAGAACCUUACCUGGCCUUGACAUACUAGAAACUUUCCAGAGAUGGAUUGGUGCCUUCGGGAAUCUAGAUACAGGUGCUGCAUGGCUGUCGUCAGCUCGUGUCGUGAGAUGUUGGGUUAAGUCCCGCAACGAGCGCAACCCUUUUCCUUAUUUGCCAGCGAGUAAUGUCGGGAACUUUAAGGAUACUGCCAGUGACAAACUGGAGGAAGGCGGGGACGACGUCAAGUCAUCAUGGCCCUUACGGCCAGGGCUACACACGUGCUACAAUGGUCGGUACAAAGGGUUGCUACCUAGCGAUAGGAUGCUAAUCUCAAAAAGCCGAUCGUAGUCCGGAUUGGAGUCUGCAACUCGACUCCAUGAAGUCGGAAUCGCUAGUAAUCGCGGAUCAGAAUGCCGCGGUGAAUACGUUCCCGGGCCUUGUACACACCGCCCGUCACACCAUGGGAGUUUGUUGCACCAGAAGUAGGUAGUCUAACCGCAAGGAGGACGCUUACCACGGUGUGGCCGAUGACUGGGGUGAAGUCGUAACAAGGUAGCCGUAGGGGAACCUGCGGCUGGAACACCUCCUUC
This 1534-nucleotide ribosomal RNA is filed under the name Acinetobacter sp. LR33. RNAcentral's name for it is "bacterial SSU rRNA". It matches the Rfam family "Bacterial small subunit ribosomal RNA". The record is from RNAcentral. Lineage: Bacteria; Pseudomonadati; Pseudomonadota; Gammaproteobacteria; Moraxellales; Moraxellaceae.